This 4153-nucleotide long non-coding RNA is filed under the name Homo sapiens (human). RNAcentral's name for it is "HSALNT0222969". Lineage: Eukaryota; Metazoa; Chordata; Mammalia; Primates; Hominidae. The record is from RNAcentral.
UAUAGGUUUCCUGCCUUUUUCCCUAGUUUCUUUGAGGUCUUUGGUUAACCUCACACAGCCUCUGAGAAUUUGGUGGCCUGGUUAUUUUGGCAGAACACAGAGUCCCUGGGAGGACAGAAAUAGGCAUGUUAGAAAGGCAGCCCUCUGAGGGCAGAGCCAAACAGGUCCAUGAGCUGAAGCUGAUGGCCUCUUCACUUGCAGAAGGCCUCUUUACUUGCAGAAGGCCUGAGGCCUAGUAAUGGCCCUGGGCCUAGCUUCUUAGUAGUUGAGAGGGGACAGCAUCAGCUUUCCCCCAGGUCCCACUCGCUCUCAGCAAUUCUGUGGGGACAUGUUCCCUGCUGGGUUCUCUGGCUCACCAGCUGUGCUGUUUGGGAUUCUGAAGAAAAUACCUAGAAAAGUGUGUGGUCCAGCCAUUGCCCCGAAGUAGCUUGUGGUCUUGACAGGGAGGGACGGUAUCCUUCCAGACUCUGAGAGUACAGGCUGUUGGAGCCACAGCCCCCGCCCUGAAGGAUUUUACAGCUACCAGGAAAGAUGAGAUGAGACAUCAGUAAAAGCAGAAAGCAGGUCUCAGGAUGGACAGCAUAUACAGAGAAGGCUCAUCAGGAGGCUGGCAUGGCCAUUCCUCGCAGGCAGGGGAGCAGAAGUGGAAAAUGAUAUCAGAGCUCAGGUGCAUGAGGCAGUGAGGGGCAGAAACACUGGGGUCAGGGAGAGGAGUGAGGGUGGUAGGUAGUUGAGGCCAGAUUGGAGAGGACAUUGACUCACAGGCUGAGGAGGCCUUUUUCCUUAGAGAUCAAUGGUUCUCAGACUUUGCCCUCAAGGAACACUGCCAUUUCCACUGGACCAGUGAUGGUACUGUGAAAGUUAUACCAUACAGGACUUUUCCUGAUUUGCAGGAAAAAUUUAUCAACAGCAGUUUCCCAGUCUUAAGUCUUUCUUGCAUACUUCUUUCUAAACCUUUGGUAGCUGCUACCCCUUGUCUUCUUAAGAAUGUGAGCAGAUUCCAAGGUGACUGGACAGUAGCAAGUGGAUCUGAACAAAGAGCAGCAGCCACUGACCCACCACAGCUUUUGUUUUUGUCUUGGGACAUAUCAGGGAUUUUGUUGAAUAUUUAAAAUACUUUCUGCUAGUUGGUAAUUGUUCCUUGUUUGUUAGAAUUAGAUAUGUCAGUAUAUUAAGAAUGUCCCAUAAAAACUGUAUGACUUACUACUGUGCCACCUGAACAAGUCUUAAGAAACACCGCUGGCAACAGGGAGCCAUUUAUAGUUUUUGAGGAAGGCCUAUAACUUGGUGGUGUAUGCAGGACAGAGGGAGGGAGGAGAAGAUGGAAGCCAUUAGGGGCUGAAUCCUCUGGCUCCAGAUGGAUUUGGCUGGGGAUGGGCUCCUGGAGAUUGUGAAAAUGGGUCCAGUGCUGUGGGCAAGGCUGGCAGAGGGCAGGGCUCUUCCUCCCAGGAUAGCAGUGGGAGCCCUGCUGCCUCCAGAGCCUGAGCAUGUCUGCUGGGCUGGAGGGCUGGAAACCCCAGCCCUAGGUGCACUUUCUGCUCUCUUUCUGAAAGGGAGGGUCAGCCUGAUUGCAUUUCACGCUGUCUUUCACUAAGGGUUUUUGUUUGAGUUUACAUAAAAGUGGGCUGAAGAGGCUGGGAAACCCAGAGAACACCAUUGAAUGUAGCAGAUGGAUUUGGUUAGCUGUUGCUGAGCUAAAGGAGGCUUGACUGAUAACCUUGUGAAAAGUCCAUGUAGGAUGAAAGUGCUAUAUAAGCCAAGGAUUAUCAGCAACUCUUCUUCAGAUGAGAAAACUAAAGCCUACAGAGCUUAAAACACUUGCCCAAGGACGCAUGGCUAGUAAAUGGUGACCACAGGCCAGUCUGCUCCCAACCACAUGCCAUAUCCCAAGUGCCUCAAUGGGAGUGCAGAGGAUGGACCUAAUCUAGCCUGACUAGGGUGGGCUGCAGUGCAGGGCAGCAAGAUAUGAAGGCCUCACCAAGUUCAGAAGGGGCAGCAAAAUCAACCAGAUGAAGAAGUGCAUUCCAGGCAGAAGGCCAGCAUGGACAAAGAACAGGAUUACCCAGGAACAUGACACACUGAGCUGCUUUCUCUGGAAAAUGCAAGGUCUAGACUCUGAUGCAUGAGUCCCCUUCUAGCCGGACACUCCUCCAUUCUGAACCACUCUUUGCUCAGGGAAGCAGGGGUCUUUGUACUGCAAUCUGGAUCCAGUCUGCUCAUUGGCCUUUUGUGGUAUUUAGCACGGUGCAGGUCCCAGAACCCCCUAUCGCUUCUUUAAUCAGUGGAGGCGGAGGUGAGCAUACCUAGUUAUGAGGCCUAAUUGAUGUUGGGGAGGUUCCUAGAGUGCUCGGUGAAGGGUGACCCAUAAAUCUCAGACACUGAAGAAUUCUGCCACAUCCAUCACAGUGUUUAAUGUCCUGAUUGAUCUCCAGGGUAGUCAAUUUCAUUUGCUUGUUUCAGGAUGAAGAGGCAGCCUGCUUCCCUAUGUUGCAGCCUGGGGCUCUGCAUAAAAUUAUGCCAGCCCUGUCUCCUGGUAGCUUGCAAUAAAUUUUAGCAGCAAAUGUUUCAUCAUUUUCCUUGGAUAAUUAACUAUUCACCAGGAGAUAAUACCAAACUUUUCAGCAGUGGAGUCAAAGAUAUUCAGAAUAGUGAUGAAUUCCUCACUUAGUUAAUGUGAGGGAAAUACAAGUUUUUGGCAAGUACUCCAGUAGUACUCCAAUAGUACUGACCAAAGGGAGAGGAAGGAAGAUAAGGUGCCUCCUGUCUGGGGGAUAACAGUGCUCUCUUACCUCACUCAGAGUGAAUACAGGCAUGGAACAAAUGAGUAUGUGCGAGCAGGGAUGCACUCAGGAGAGGAGCAGGCAGUGGCUGGACUGGCUGUUAUGACUAGGGGCGGGGCUCACUGCCACCCUCCCACACCAGACUAUCAGCAGCAGCAAGAGCGUCUCCUGGGCAGCUGACCCCAAAAGUGCUGAGCAUGUGCUGGCAGUAAAACACCCCAGGCUUCUCAUUAAUAAGGAUGCUUUCUGUUUGUGUCUCCCCUGAAACAUUCUCAAAGGGUUUUCCCUUCUGUUACAUCAUUAGCUAUCCCAGCAGCCUUCAGGGUGGGAGGCACAAGAUCAUUCCUGUUGUACAUGGGGAGGAAGCAGGUCUAAGGAUUUGCUUGGAGCCUCAUAGCAAACCAGAAACAGGGCUGGGCUGAGAAUCCAGUCUCUGCCACAUCCCGUGCAUAGGUACAGUGGCACCUGAGGUAGGAGGCAUGGGAGAGAGUGGGAUGAACAGACCUCUCUCCAGCCCUGAGAUGUCCAUGGUUUGGCUGUUUCAGCCCCCAGAGUUGUUGGGGGUCCUUGUGAAGCAACUCCACACAGGUGUUGAGUGGGGCACAGGGUACUGUCAGCUUGUUAGUAAGAGGGAUUCCUUGGGCCCAGAUAAUUUGUCAGCAGCUCCAAGAGUGGGACCCCAACUCUGUCUUCUCUCUUUAGAGGUAACUGAAUAGCACCAGGGAGGAGCGUGGCGGCAGCACCAAGGCGGAAGCCAUGCUCUUUUGACUCUGGCUUCCGUCAAGAGCUGUCUUGGAAGGAGAAAGGAGCUCCUGAGUUGAAUUUCAGGUGGACACCCACCAUGCUAAAUAGAAUUCCAAGCCACUAGCCUCUAGCCACACAGGUUCCAUCCCAACACUCCUGUCUGUGGGACUUGAUCUGAAAAGCCACACUUUGGUUGGGAACCUUGCCCAGGGCUGGCUGGAGAGGGGCCUGUUGUGCCACUCAGGGAAGGCCUUAUGGUUCCCUCAUCCUGGGUGGGCUUCAGGCUGGGGCUGCAGACUCUGGCCCAGCUCCCUGGUGGGCCAGUCACCAGCACUGCUGGCUCUGAGUCCUGAUUUCUUACUUUGGCUUUCCUGGUGGCACCUGGUUUGAUUCUGGACAGCUCAUUUCACAUCUAGCAUGGCAUAUAAUCCAGCCAGACCUGGGUUUGAAUCCUGCCACUACAGCUCACUAGUUAGCUGUGUGCCCUUGGGCAAGCCCCUGAAUGAGUCAUUCCAUGGCUGCUGUUUUCUCCUCUGUAAAGCAGGGAAGAUAGCGCCCACUUUCCAGGGCUGUGCUAAGGAGGGAAGCCUGUGAAGAGCACCUGUCACAACAGGAAAUGCAGACGUGGG